RNAcentral lists this ribosomal RNA (465 nucleotides) under uncultured bacterium. RNAcentral describes it as "partial 16S ribosomal RNA". It matches the Rfam family "Bacterial small subunit ribosomal RNA", at positions 28 to 507 of the family's 1533-position model. The record is from RNAcentral.
GACGAACGCUGGCGGCGUGCUUAACACAUGCAAGUCGUACGGUAAGGCCCUUUCGGGGGUACACGAGUGGCGAACGGGUGAGUAACACGUGAGUAACCUGCCCACAACUUUGGGAUAACGCUAGGAAACUGGUGCUAAUACUGGAUAUGUGCUCCUGCUGCAUGGUGGGGGUUGGAAAGCUCCGGCGGUUGUGGAUGGACUCGCGGCCUAUCAGCUUGUUGGUGGGGUAGUGGCCUACCAAGGCGGCGACGGGUAGCCGGCCUGAGAGGGUGACCGGCCACAUUGGGACUGAGAUACGGCCCAGACGCCUACGUGAGGCAGCAGUGGGGAAUAUUGCACCAUGGGCGCCAGCCUGAUGCAGCAACGCCGCGUGCGGGAUGACGGCCUUCGGGUUGUAAACCGCUUUCAGCAGGGACGAAGCUUUUUGUGACGGUACCUGCAGAAGAAGCACCGGCUAACUACGUG